This 430-nucleotide long non-coding RNA is filed under the name Monodelphis domestica (gray short-tailed opossum). RNAcentral describes it as "lncRNA (ENSMODG00000034546.2)". Lineage: Eukaryota; Metazoa; Chordata; Mammalia; Didelphimorphia; Didelphidae. The record is from RNAcentral.
CUGGGGGUAUAGCCAAGAUGGCAGAGUAAUCCUCAGCAGCUCUAUACCAACAUGAGAAUCUUUCCCAACCAAAAUUAAAAUAUUGCCACAAAAUUAAUAUAGGAGUGAAAGAACCAACAAGAAGGCAGAGUGAAACAACUUUCAAGAAAAAAAAAACAAAGAUCUCCAAGCACUUACAAGGGAAAGAUUGCAUUACUACGAAUGAAUGUGAAACAGAGUUGCCUAAAGCAUUUCAACAGGUAUGAAGAGGAACAGCCAAGUGAGCAAGUGCUGCAAUGGAGUUGGGAUGAUAAUUGCCAGACAAGAGCCAAAAAGUGGACAAGGUGAAGAAGACAGUUUGAUGCUAGGCAUUGUCAAGGUUAUAGCUUAGCUCCUCCUAGGAAUUGUCUCUGGAAACUGAGAGUGAAGAAUAAAGGAGCAAUAAGGAGCA